RNAcentral lists this ribosomal RNA (427 nucleotides) under uncultured bacterium. Its description in RNAcentral is "bacterial SSU rRNA". It matches the Rfam family "Bacterial small subunit ribosomal RNA", at positions 335 to 748 of the family's 1533-position model. The record is from RNAcentral.
ACUCCUACGGGAGGCAGCAGUGGGGGAAUUUUGGACAAUGGGCGAAAGGCCUGAUCCAGCAAUGCCGCGUGUGUGAAGAAGGCCUUCGGGUUGUAAAGCACUUUGUCAGGGAAGAAAUCUGUUUGGUUAAUACCCGAACAGGAUGACGGUACCUGAAGAAUAAGCACCGGCUAACUACGUGCCAGCAGCCGCGGUAAUACGUAGGGUGCGAGCGUUAAUCGGAAUUACUGGGCGUAAAGCGUGCGCAGGCGGCACUGUAAGACAGAUGUGAAAUCCCCCGGGCUCGAACCUGGGGAACUGCAUUUGUGACUGCAGAGCUAGAGUGUGUCGAGAGGGGGUGGAAUUCCGACGUGUAGCAGUGAAAUGCGUAGAGAUGUGGAGGAACACCGGAUGGCGAAGGCAGCCCCCUGGGAUAACACUGACGCUC